This is a long non-coding RNA of Pipistrellus kuhlii (Kuhl's pipistrelle), 123 nucleotides long. RefSeq lists it as uncharacterized. NCBI's taxonomy places the organism in Eukaryota, Metazoa, Chordata, Mammalia, Chiroptera, Vespertilionidae. The transcript is spliced from 3 exons. The record is from RefSeq and is a predicted model, not a curated record.
ACUCUUUACCUACCGACGCUCUUGCAAUUGGCUCAAAGAACUUCCCCUUCUUCCCACAAUCACACGAGUCCAGGUUUCCCAUCUUUAGGUGAUUCAUUCUAGAACCAGAGAACUAUGAACAGG